AGCGAACGCUGGCGGCAGGCCUAACACAUGCAAGUCGAACGGAUCCUUCGGGAUUAGUGGCGGACGGGUGAGUAACACGUGGGAACGUGCCCUUUGGUUCGGAACAACUCAGGGAAACUUGAGCUAAUACCGGAUGUGCUCUUCGGGGGAAAGAUUUAUCGCCAUUGGAGCGGCGCGCGUCUGAUUAGCUAGUUGGUGAGGUAACGGCCCACCAAGGCGACGAUCAGUAGCUGGUCUGAGAGGAUGAUCAGCCACACUGGGACUGAGACACGGCCCAGACUCCUACGGGAGGCAGCAGUGGGGGAUCUUGCGCAAUGGGCGAAAGCCUGACGCAGCCAUGCCGCGUGAGUGAUGAAGGUCGUAGGAUUGGAAAGUUCUUUCAGCAGGGACGAUAAUGACGGUACCCGCAGAAGAAGCGCCGGCUAACUUCGUG
Molecule: ribosomal RNA, 433 nt
Filed under: uncultured bacterium
Lineage: Bacteria
Description: partial 16S ribosomal RNA
Rfam family: Bacterial small subunit ribosomal RNA
Source: RNAcentral